RNAcentral lists this ribosomal RNA (581 nucleotides) under uncultured bacterium. RNAcentral's name for it is "bacterial SSU rRNA". It matches the Rfam family "Bacterial small subunit ribosomal RNA", at positions 338 to 945 of the family's 1533-position model. The record is from RNAcentral.
CCUACGGGAGGCAGCAGUGGGGAAUCUUGCGCAAUGGGCGAAAGCCUGACGCAGCCAUGCCGCGUGAAUGAUGAAGGUCUUAGGAUUGUAAAAUUCUUUCACCGGGGACGAUAAUGACGGUACCCGGAGAAGAAGCCCCGGCUAACUUCGUGCCAGCAGCCGCGGUAAUACGAAGGGGGCUAGCGUUGCUCGGAAUUACUGGGCGUAAAGGGAGCGUAGGCGGACAUUUAAGUCAGGGGUGAAAUCCCAGAGCUCAACUCUGGAACUGCCUUUGAUACUGGGUGUCUUGAGUGUGAUAGAGGUAUGUGGAACUCCGAGUGUAGAGGUGAAAUUCGUAGAUAUUCGGAAGAACACCAGUGGCGAAGGCGACAUACUGGAUCAUUACUGACGCUGAGGCUCGAAAGCGUGGGGAGCAAACAGGAUUAGAUACCCUGGUAGUCCACGACGUAACGAUNAUNNUAGUGUCGGGUGUUACUAUCUCGUGACGCNGCUACGCAUAGANAUCCGCCGUGGGAGGUACGGUCGCGAGAGUAAACUACAAGUAAGUAGAGNGUGNGAGUGCGAGGCGCGACGAGGAGAGG